This 283-nucleotide small RNA is filed under the name Pongo abelii (Sumatran orangutan). RNAcentral's name for it is "processed transcript". The record is from RNAcentral. Lineage: Eukaryota; Metazoa; Chordata; Mammalia; Primates; Hominidae.
GGCUGCUUGAGUUCAAUAACCUAAAAAUGAAAAACCUCUGGACCAUUCCAAUACAGGUUAUUCAAAGGAGCUGUGAUAAAGAGCAUAUAGCAAAUGCACUCAGUUAUAUGCAGUAGGUGAGGAACUGAAGUCCAGAGGGGUUUCUUGAACUGCCCAAGGACACACUACUAUUUAGUGAUACAAGCUGGGACUAAAACUGAGGUCCCCCGACACCUGGUCCAGAGUUCUUUCUACUAUACAUCAAAGAAUAUACAAAUAAAAGUUUAUCAUAACUAACCCAAAA